This 478-nucleotide ribosomal RNA is filed under the name uncultured bacterium. RNAcentral describes it as "partial 16S ribosomal RNA". It matches the Rfam family "Bacterial small subunit ribosomal RNA", at positions 28 to 523 of the family's 1533-position model. The record is from RNAcentral.
GACGAACGCUGGCGGCGUGCUUAACACAUGCAAGUCGAACGGUAAGGCCCUUCGGGGUACACGAGUGGCGAACGGGUGAGUAACACGUGGGUGAUCUGCCCUGCACUUCGGGAUAAGCCUGGGAAACUGGGUCUAAUACCGGAUAGGACUCCUGGCUUCAUGGUUGGGGGUGGAAAGCUUUUGCGGUGUGGGAUGGGCCCGCGGCCUAUCGGCUUGUUGGUGGGGUAAUGGCCUCCCAAGGCGACGACGGGUAGCCGGCCUGAGAGGGUGACCGGUCACAGUGGGACUGAGAUACGGCCCAGACUCCUACGGGAGGCAGCAGGGGGGAAUAUUGCACAAUGGGCGCAAGCCUGAUGCAGCGACGCCGCGUGAGGGAUGACGGCCUUCGGGUUGUAAACCUCUUUCAGCACCGACGAAGCGCAAGUGACGGUAGGUGCAGAAGAAGGACCGGCCAACUACGUGCCAGCAGCCGCGGUAA